GGGAUUGGAAGGCCUCCUAGGCAAAUGGAUCCUAAAGCAUUCUUGCUUCAAAAAUUCAAUGUAACAGCUAGACAACAAAUAGCAAAUCUUUUGGAUUGCACUUCAUGGUCAGGGGCUAGACCAGGGUUAAUGAAUGCAGUUACUCAAGGUGCUCUGCAAGCAGGAAAACCAGUUGGUGGAUUCAAGAUUGGAAAAGAAGCUGGGGAAUGGACUGCAUCCAACUACCAUCCAUACUUGCCAUCAGAAAAUUACCUCACCUGCAGGUAAUCUGCCACCAUUGCUUGAUUUCUUAUUCAAUAGAUUUGAUUGCGAGUAGCUUCUUAUAUCGUUUUGACUUUUGAGUUCAGGUUUUUCUCUGCAAGGAAACAGGUUUGGUGGAUGUUGUAGUAAGGAAUAAUUCACUCGAUAAGACUACUGUUGUUGCUCUUCUCCAAUCUUCAAUAAUCAUUGUCUAUUUUGACUCAUACAUCGGUACAUCUUAUAGUAUAUAAAUAAUUGCCUUGAACCAUUUUAUCAUAGUAUCAAAUUUCUUUUGGUUUUUUACUUCUCAUAUUUGAUUAUUUGAUCAUCCAACUUGCUCUGCCUAAGACUUCACGAAUUGCUUUGUCCAGAUUAUAUUCCAAGCUCUUGAACUUUCAUGGAGCUGAAUAUAUAACUAACAAAUUUAUAAUUCUAAUUACUAUUAUUAUUAUUAUUUUGGCUUUUAGGAAUUUUCGAUUCCACAUCUGUCUUUAGAUUUACUUUAUGUUCUUCUUUAUUAACCAACAAGAAAGAAGGCAUAAAGAGGUGAUAACCAAUGCAUGAAUGAAGUUAGAUGACAAUAGAAGCAGCAAAAGCAAGAUACUACACUCAUUCAUGUUUUGUGUUGUGUGUAUAUAUUAUAUGUAGUUGUGGGCCAUUCUCGGUCUUCUUUUGUUCGUAGGAAAGCAUGCACUAUCGGUUCCGAAACACCACCUGAUGCCCUCUCACCCUCAAGCACCACUUGUAAACAAGCUCUUAAUCCAUGGAUAUUUUCUGAGUAUAUGGGAUGAUGCUCUUCUACUCCCUUCUACUCUUUGAGAUUCAAAAAAGAAUAGAAGAAAUGGCUAGUGCUGGUUUGGACACUAAUUCUCUUGAGAUAUAUAUUU
Arachis duranensis is the source of this 1127-nucleotide long non-coding RNA. RefSeq lists it as uncharacterized. NCBI's taxonomy places the organism in Eukaryota, Viridiplantae, Streptophyta, Magnoliopsida, Fabales, Fabaceae. The record is from RefSeq and is a predicted model, not a curated record. The transcript is spliced from 4 exons.